This is an RNA transcript of Ricinus communis (castor bean), 1592 nucleotides long. It is a transcript of the gene named protein REVEILLE 8, with no coding region annotated. The transcript has 9 exons. The record is from RefSeq and is a predicted model, not a curated record. NCBI's taxonomy places the organism in Eukaryota, Viridiplantae, Streptophyta, Magnoliopsida, Malpighiales, Euphorbiaceae.
UCCCUCGCAUUAGCUCAAGCCCGCCAGUAAAACAUUUGCCAUUUUCCCUCAAAACAAACAGAAACACAAACUCUCUUUCUUCCUCCGACACACAAAUUCUAUUCUAUUCGCAGUUCAAAAAUAAAAGAAAAAAUUAUAUUCUAUGCCUUUGCUUUGGAAUUAGUGUUUUAGCCAAAUGAUAACAACCGGAAACUCAUCAUCUCCGUCAGCAAAGCCGCCUCCGCCUCCGCCACCGCCACAUCCGAUGGCCAUGUCAUCAUCUACAAUUACAACAGCAGCAGCAACAACAACAACUGCUACCGCUACUACUACAACGUCAACAGCAGCACCUCCUAUUAACACAGCAGCCGUGGAUGGUUCAGGGAAGAAGGUUAGGAAGCCUUACACUAUCACCAAGUCACGUGAGAGCUGGACCGAAGAAGAACAUGACAAGUUCCUUGAAGCUCUCCAGCUGUUUGACCGUGACUGGAAAAAGAUAGAGGAUUUUGUGGGUUCUAAGACUGUGAUUCAGAUUCGGAGCCAUGCUCAGAAGUACUUUUUGAAGGUCCAAAAGAAUGGGACUGUUGCGCAUGUUCCUCCUCCUCGACCUAAGCGCAAAGCUUCUCAUCCUUAUCCGCAAAAGGCAUCCAAAAAUGUUCUAUUGCCACUCCCGGCAUCCCUGGCUUACCCUUCUUCAAUGAAUACCCUUGCACCUGGAUAUGCUCCUUGGGAUGAUACUUCCAUGCUUAUAAAUACUGCAACAAGCAAAAUUAUGCCGUCGCAAGACGAAUUCACUCUUCAUGGAGCUGAAGCUGAUCUUGGAUCAAAGGGAGCAGCAAGGUUAAAUACGAAUACUGUUAGUUGCUUGGGGACCCUAAGCAGAACGCUGCCAAGUUCUGAUAUAAAGAAACAAGGGAAACAGGCUCCUGUGAUCCAUGUUGCAGGUCUACCAGAUUUUGCUGAAGUAUACAGCUUUAUUGGAAGCGUCUUUGAUCCAGAAACCACAGAUCAUGUGCAAAAGCUCAAGGAAAUGGAUCCUAUAAACUUUGAAACUGUUUUGUUAUUGAUGAGGAAUCUCACUGUUAAUUUGUCUAAUCCUGAUUUUGAGCCAGUUUUGAUAUCCUUGGUUGAUUCAGAAGAAGGUCCUGUCAUCGUAUGAGAUCAAUUCCAAAACAGUGGGAGUUGCUGCUGAGAGCCAAACUAAUGACAUAUCUUGUUGAACUUUUUUCUACUCACAACAUGCUGACCAUAAACAGGUGAUUUGUUGCGCCUUCACUGGAACAAUUACGAGUGCCUCCUGCCAUAUCUGUAGAGACAAACCAUAGCAGCCUUAGGCAAGUAUGUUGUCUUGUAAUGGUGGAAGAAAGUUGUGUAAUGAUUUCUGAAGUCCCCAGCCCAGGGAUCUUAAUUUCCACUGGGAAUUGCAUAGUAUUUUGGAAGGUCUGAUAUGAUCAUAAUAGGUGGGUGGGUAUUUAACCAGUCGUUGAUAUAUUGUAAAUUUGUAGUGGUGCAGGAGGUCCGGUGUAAGUAAACUACAAGAACACAUUACCAUAAAGUUACUGUCUUCAAACUUGUUAAUUGUAGGUAAAUUUGUAAUUACUUUUUUGGCUGUA